RNAcentral lists this long non-coding RNA (225 nucleotides) under Mytilus galloprovincialis (Mediterranean mussel). Lineage: Eukaryota; Metazoa; Mollusca; Bivalvia; Mytilida; Mytilidae. The record is from RNAcentral.
UUGUUUUCUCUUAUUUUUGAGUGUAAAUUGACAUUGCGAUAAGACGUGUCACGGUACUUGUCUAUCCCAAAUUCAUGUAUUUGGUUUUGAUGUUAUAUUUGUUAUUCUCGUGGAAUUUUGUCUGAUGCUUGGUGCGUUGCUGUGUGCGUUAGUUACAUUGUAGUGUUGUGUCGUUGUUUUCCUCUUAUAUUUAUGCGUUUCCCUCAGUUUUAGUUUGUUACCCCA